GAUGAUCGCUGGCGGCGUGCCUAAUACAUGCAAGUCGAGCGAACGGACGAGAAGCUUGCUUCUCUGAUGUUAGCGGCGGACGGGUGAGUAACACGUGGAUAACCUACCUAUAAGACUGGGAUAACUUCGGGAAACCGUAGCUAAUACCGGAUAAUAUUUUGAACCGCAUGGUUCAAAAGUGAAAGACGGUCUUGCUGUCACUUAUAGAUGGAUCCGCGCUGCAUUAGCUAGUUGGUAAGGUAACGGCUUACCAAGGCAACGAUGCAUAGCCGACCUGAGAGGGUGAUCGGCCACACUGGAACUGAGACACGGUCCAGACUCCUACGGGAGGCAGCAGUAGGGAAUCUUCCGCAAUGGGCGAAAGCCUGACGGAGCAACGCCGCGUGAGUGAUGAAGGUCCUCGGAUCGUAAAACUCUGUUAUUAGGGAAGAACAUAUGUGUAAGUAACUGUGCACAUCUUGACGGUACCUAAUCAGAAAGCCACGGCUAACUACGUG
RNAcentral lists this ribosomal RNA (497 nucleotides) under uncultured bacterium. RNAcentral describes it as "partial 16S ribosomal RNA". It matches the Rfam family "Bacterial small subunit ribosomal RNA", at positions 28 to 507 of the family's 1533-position model. The record is from RNAcentral.